GCUUACAACGUUGCUCUGUUAGCGUCAAACAAAUCAAACCACGUCCAAAGCGUGCCAUAAAGUUAAUCGCUUCUGGCGUAAUACAUUCUGCCGCCAUCA
This 99-nucleotide non-coding RNA is filed under the name marine eukaryotic metagenome. The record is from RNAcentral.